UAACCUGGUUGAUCCUGCCAGUAGUCAUAUGCUUGUCUCAAAGAUUAAGCCAUGCAUGUCUAAGUAAAAACUAAAUUAUGGUGAAACUGCAAAUGGCUCAUUACAACGGUUAUGAUGUACCCGGGAUUUCCGAUGGAUAUUUCCAGUAACACUAGAGCUAAUACAUGUAACUGCGUUUAUUAGUUUCAAACAAAUCUGUCGCUGAGUCAUGGUAAACGGUUGAUCGACUCGACGUCCCGGAACAGUUUCCGCCCCAUCAGCUUCGAUGGUUGGGUAUUGGCCUACCAUUGCAACAACGGGUAACGAGGAAUUAGGGUUUGAUUUCGGAGAGGGAGCCUGAGAAACGGCUACCACAUCUACGGAUGGCAGCAGGCGCGCAAAUUACCCAAUGCAGACACUGUGAGGUAGUGACGAGAAAUAAUAAAGUGGGGCUUCUGUCUCGCUAUUAUAAUGAGGAAUAACUAAAUGUCAUUCCUAUUAGCAACUGAUGGGAAAGUCUGGUGCCAGCAGCCGCGGUAAUACCAGCUUCAGUAGCAUAUAUUAAAAUUGUUGCAGUUAAAACGUCCGUAGUCUGUACGUCGUCCGAGACUUUACUACAUCUCUGCAUGCUCUUUAUUGAGCGUGCAGCAGUUUGUAGUUACUCCCUUGAUCAAAAUAGAUUGCUCAAGGUAGACCAAGUCUUCAUAUCUUCACAUGGAAUUGGGUGAGGGAAAAGGAAAUUGACGGAAGAGCACCAUAAGACGUGGAGCUUGCGGCUUAAUUUGACUCAACGCGGGAAAACUUACCAGGUCAAGACAUGGGCGUGAUUGACAGGCUAAUGACCUUUCUCGAUUCCUUGGAUGGUGGUGCAUGGUCGCACUUAGUUGGUGCAGUGAUUUGUCAGGUUUAUUCCGGUAACGAACGAGACCUCGGCCUUGUAACUAGCUUUAUCGCUGCUUACAGGGACAAUGUCGGCUACGUCAAGGAAGUUCGAGGCAAUUGCAGAUCUGGAAUGCCCUUAGAUGUCCUGGGUCGCACGCGUGCUACAAUGACGCCACGAACGAGUUUACGUGAUGAAAGUCAUGUAAAAUCACAAAUCGUCGUCUUAAGGGACAGUCUCUUGUAACUGUGGGACUCUAACUAGGAAUGUCUCGUAAGCACAAGUCAACAUCUUGUGUUGAUUACGUCCCUGCUCUUUGUACACACCGCCCGUCGCUCCUACCGAUCGAGUGUUUAGAUGAAUUUGACGGACUCACGGAAGUUAAAUAAAUCUGAUCACUUAGAGGAAGGAGAAGUCGUAACAAGGUUUCCGUAGGUGAACCUGCAGAAGGAUC
This 1313-nucleotide ribosomal RNA is filed under the name uncultured marine eukaryote. RNAcentral's name for it is "partial 18S ribosomal RNA". It matches the Rfam family "Eukaryotic small subunit ribosomal RNA". The record is from RNAcentral.